Molecule: ribosomal RNA, 253 nt
Filed under: uncultured bacterium
Lineage: Bacteria
Description: partial 16S ribosomal RNA
Rfam family: Bacterial small subunit ribosomal RNA
Source: RNAcentral
UACAGAGGUCCCAAGCGUUGUUCGGAUUCAUUGGGCGUAAAGGGUGCGUAGGCGGCGCGGUAAGUCGGGUGUGAAAUCUCGGAGCUUAACUCCGAAACUGCAUUCGAUACUGCCGUGCUUGAGGACUUGAGAGGAGACUGGAAUUUACGGUGUAGCGGUGAAAUGCGUAGAUAUCGUAAGGAAGACCAGUGGCGAAGGCGGGUCUCUGGACAGUUCCUGACGCUGAGGCACGAAGGCCAGGGGAGCAAACGGG